Long non-coding RNA from Peromyscus californicus insignis, 1041 nucleotides. RefSeq lists it as uncharacterized. The record is from RefSeq and is a predicted model, not a curated record. The transcript is spliced from 4 exons. Lineage: Eukaryota; Metazoa; Chordata; Mammalia; Rodentia; Cricetidae.
GCCCCUUUCCCGCCCUCAGGCCUCGUCCAGGCUGAGUACUUCCGGCUUUCCUCCUCCCACAAGAUGGCUUCCCGGCUGGGGCUUGCCAGUGUUGUUUUCCUCCACCCCUGUUCAGAAUCAGGGAUGCCCAUCAUCCUUUCGGUUAACCUCAGGCUCCAGUAAUCCUGUCAGUUCCUCUCUUGGUUAGCCUCGUCAUUUGAUAGUAUAGAGUACAAAAAGCAAGGACUUAAGUGUGUGAGUCCAAGCCCUGCCUCCUACCUUUCCCAAAGUAGCAUUGACCUUGACCCUCCUAAAUCAAAAGAGAUUAAAAUGAAGAUUGGUACAUUUUCCCCACACGGGAACAUGUCAUCGUAUUCAUGCUAUGUGAUCUGCUCUGUGGAUUUCCCGGGAGAAGUUAGAAGACAAAAGUCCUCAUCAUCCUGAUCAAUGCAGUUUGAAGAACCUCAGCCAGUCUGCACGAACUCUGGCUGGCCUUUCCUCCAGCAGCUCUCACCUAUGACCCCUGCAGGGUUGCCCCCUGGGAUUCUCAGAAGUUUCACAUCAAUGGACUGGCUCAAUGGGUCCUACCUUGGCCUCUGAGAAGAACUUGACGGUCCAUCAUCCAGAUCGCCAAUUGAACUUUCAGUCGUAAAGAUCCACUCAUCAUUCAUUCAUCCAGCAGACAGCCAGUGAGUUUCUGAUACGCGACACACCGGGCGCAAUGUUAAGGACGGGUAUUUGUUGGUGAACAAAGUUUUCUUAUUGGGGUUUUAUUUUCCCAGGGCUUCCCUUGCUCUGCAACUGCUCUCUCACUGAGCUACGGAACUUUCUUAUGACCUAAGUGUUCUUGUACGUGGGCAAAACAUGCUUAUUGUACCUGGGUUCUUUGUUGUUGAGACAAGAUUCUUAGUUUGAUUUCUUUUUUCUCCCAAGUCAGGUUCUCUGUCCCAUGAUGCUCACAGGGCUGCUUUUGGAUUUUGUUUUUUUCCCCCCACACUAUCUGGUAAUCCUGACUGCAAAUGAAGAGCUAGAUUUGCAAAUAAAGACAGCCUGAAGAUCUCU